RNAcentral lists this long non-coding RNA (208 nucleotides) under Lathyrus oleraceus (garden pea). RNAcentral's name for it is "Pisum sativum (pea) long non-coding RNA (PSAT_LNC012278)". Lineage: Eukaryota; Viridiplantae; Streptophyta; Magnoliopsida; Fabales; Fabaceae. The record is from RNAcentral.
GUUUUCUCAGAUUGGGUUCAGAUGACAGUUUAUCAGUUGACUUUGGGUUUCAGAUGAAGUGUUGUUCAGAGUUUGAGCCGAAGCUUCGAUCCUGUGUUCUGAGAUGCACAACCUGCCAGUCUUGUCUGCAUCAUUUGCAUCAUAGCAUGUUUAUUUUCAAAAGAAACGCAAUAUAAAAAAAAAAGAAUUGAAAAAAAAAUGAAAAAAG